UACGAAGGGGGCUAGCGUUGCUCGGAAUCACUGGGCGUAAAGGGUGCGUAGGCGGGCCUUUAAGUCAGGGGUGAAAUCCUGGAGCUCAACUCCGGAACUGCCUUUGAUACUGAAGAUCUUGAGUUCGGGAGAGGUGAGUGGAACUGCGAGUGUAGAGGUGAAAUUCGUAGAUAUUCGCAAGAACACCAGUGGCGAAGGCGGCUCACUGGCCCGAUACUGACGCUGAGGCACGAAAGCGUGGGGAGCAAACAGG
This 253-nucleotide ribosomal RNA is filed under the name uncultured bacterium. RNAcentral's name for it is "partial 16S ribosomal RNA". It matches the Rfam family "Bacterial small subunit ribosomal RNA", at positions 524 to 776 of the family's 1533-position model. The record is from RNAcentral.